GUGAAUCAUCGAAUCUUUGAACGCAAAUUGCACUCUCUGGUAUUCCGGAGAGUAUGCCGGUUUGAGGGUCAGUUUUAAUAAAAAUCGGUGUGGUUUCUGCCUUUCGUGGUGACGGGCCGGAUUGGUGUCGUCUUUCCUUCGGUUAAGUGACCUAAACUUUUGCUUGAUUUCUCUCGAAUGUAUUUACAUGAUUUUUCGUACGUUUGCGAUAUAGUAUACUAGGUGUUCUCAUCCUCAUGAUUC
This 243-nucleotide unclassified non-coding RNA is filed under the name Glomus sp. RNAcentral's name for it is "partial contains 5.8S ribosomal RNA and internal transcribed spacer 2". The stretch from base 1 to 71 matches the Rfam family "5.8S ribosomal RNA", at positions 84 to 154 of the family's 154-position model. Lineage: Eukaryota; Fungi; Glomeromycota; Glomeromycetes; Glomerales; Glomeraceae. The record is from RNAcentral.